This 414-nucleotide ribosomal RNA is filed under the name uncultured Streptomyces sp. RNAcentral describes it as "bacterial SSU rRNA". It matches the Rfam family "Bacterial small subunit ribosomal RNA", at positions 355 to 774 of the family's 1533-position model. The record is from RNAcentral. Lineage: Bacteria; Bacillati; Actinomycetota; Actinomycetes; Kitasatosporales; Streptomycetaceae.
UGGGGAAUAUUGCACAAUGGGCGAAAGCCUGAUGCAGCGACGCCGCGUGAGGGAUGACGGCCUUCGGGUUGUGAAAUCCUCUUUCAGCAGGGAAGAAGUCGAAAGGUGACGGAUACCUGCAGAAGAAGCGCCGGCUAACUACGUGCCAGCAGCCGCGGUAAUACGUAGGGCGCAAGCGUUGUCCGGAAUUAUUGGGCGUAAAGAGCUCGUAGGCGGCUUGUCACGUCGGUUGUGAAAGCCCGGGGCUUAACCCCGGGUCUGCAGUCGAUACGGGCAGGCUAGAGUUCGGUAGGGGAGAUCGGAAUUCCUGGUGUAGCGGUGAAAUGCGCAGAUAUCAGGAGGAACACCGGUGGCGAAGGCGGAUCUUCUUGGGCCGAUACUGACGCUGAGGAGCGAAAGCGUGGGGAGCGAACA